UACGUAGGCAGCAAGCGUUGUUCGGAGUUACUGGGCGUAAAGGGUGUGUAGGCGGUUCUUUAAGUUUGGUGUGAAAUCUCCCGGCUCAACCGGGAGGGUGCGCCGAAUACUGAGGGACUAGAGUGUGGGAGAGGAAAGUGGAAUUCCUGGUGUAGCGGUGAAAUGCGUAGAUAUCAGGAGGAACACCGGUGGUGUAGACGGCUUUCUGGACCAUUGCUGACGCUGAGACACGAAAGCGUGGGUAGCAAACAGG
This 253-nucleotide ribosomal RNA is filed under the name uncultured bacterium. RNAcentral's name for it is "partial 16S ribosomal RNA". It matches the Rfam family "Bacterial small subunit ribosomal RNA", at positions 524 to 776 of the family's 1533-position model. The record is from RNAcentral.